GUGAAAUCCCCGAGCUUAACUUGGGAAUUGCAUUCGAUACUGGUUGGCUAGAGUGUGGGAGAGGAUGGUAGAAUUCCAGGUGUAGCGGUGAAAUGCGUAGAGAUCUGGAGGAAUACCGAUGGCGAAGGCAGCCAUCUGGCCUAACACUGACGCUGAGGUGCGAAAGCAUGGGGAGCAAACAGGAUUAGAUACCCUGGUAGUCCAUGCCGUAAACGAUGUCUACUAGCCGUUGGGGCCUUUGAGGCUUUAGUGGCGCAGCUAACGCGAUAAGUAGACCGCCUGGGGAGUACGGUCGCAAGACUAAAACUCAAAUGAAUUGACGGGGGCCCGCACAAGCGGUGGAGCAUGUGGUUUAAUUCGAUGCAACGCGAAGAACCUUACCUGGCCUUGACAUAGUAGAAACUUUCCAGAGAUGGAUUGGUGCCUUCGGGAAUCUACAUACAGGUGC
RNAcentral lists this ribosomal RNA (448 nucleotides) under bacterium symbiont of Megymenum gracilicorne. RNAcentral describes it as "bacterial SSU rRNA". It matches the Rfam family "Bacterial small subunit ribosomal RNA", at positions 594 to 1041 of the family's 1533-position model. The record is from RNAcentral.